AUAGGAACCCUGACUACCCAGAAACUGCUGUGCUGGAGAGGCUGCAUGUAGGAGGCACUCUGGCUUACAGCCUCAGCUGAAUCUAGGCUAACAGUCAUAACCAACUGCAAGCCAGGGAGAUGAUCCAGCUGAUGACAAUCUGGCAGAUUUAUUUCCAGGGAGAAUUAGUCCCACCCUGUGUGGGUGUCAGCUUGAAUGGCUCUAGUCCCCAUGGGGCAAAGAGGUCCUGUCACCUCAGCAAGCAAGGAGGGCAAGUUGGAGCCAGCUAACAUCCGUCAGGAACUCCAAGGCCAAAGGCAUGAUCUGGAGGGAAGAAGUGAGUUCACCGUCAACUAGACUAAACUGAAAGGGAAAAAGAAUCAUCUCAGCUUUUGCUACCUCAAUGUGAUACAGAAGCGGGGAAGUCCUUUAAGUACUCACUGGGAGAGUUGGCAACGCUCAUGGCAGAAUCACAGUACAAGAGGAGACAACAUUACCAAACGAGUCUGGAAACCUCCAGAGUCACUAACGGUUGUCUACAGGGAGUCUCUGUCUAGGUGUGGCUCAUCCAUUGGUAGCCUCCUCCUUCAAUAAUUUUUCCAAAGAUUCAUUUUCCGUGUCAGAAUUCUCACCUGGCUUCUGACUACAAUAAAUA
This is a non-coding RNA of Equus caballus (horse), 634 nucleotides long. Lineage: Eukaryota; Metazoa; Chordata; Mammalia; Perissodactyla; Equidae. The record is from RefSeq and is a predicted model, not a curated record.